This 441-nucleotide ribosomal RNA is filed under the name uncultured bacterium. RNAcentral describes it as "partial 16S ribosomal RNA". It matches the Rfam family "Bacterial small subunit ribosomal RNA", at positions 338 to 795 of the family's 1533-position model. The record is from RNAcentral.
CCUACGGGCGGCAGCAGUGGGGAAUAUUGCACAAUGGGGGAAACCCUGAUGCAGCAACGCCGCGUGAAGGAGGACGGUUUUCGGAUUGUAAACUUCUGUUCUUAGUGAAGCAUAAUCACGGUAGCUAAGCAGCAAGCCACGGCUAACUACGUGCCAGCAGCCGCGGUAAUACGCAGGUGGCAAGCGUUGUCCGGAAUUACUGGGUGUAAAGGGAGCGCAGGCGGGAAGCCAAGUCAGCUGUGAAAACUACGGGCUUAACUUGUAGACCGCAGUUGAAACUGGGUGUCUUGAGUAAAGUAGAGGUUGGCGGAAUGCCGGGUGUAGCGGUGAAAUGCGUAGAUAUUCGGAGGAACACCGGUGGCGAAUGCGGCCAACUGGGCUUUAACUGACGCUGAGGCUCGAAAGUGUGGGGAGCAAACAGGAUUAGAUACCCGAGUAGUC